UGCCAGCCGCCGCGGUAACACGGGGGGCGCAAGCGUUGUCCGGAUCUGCUGGGCGUAAAGGGCGCGCAGGCGGUCGAAUAAGUCGAAUGUGAAAGCUCCCGGCUCAACUGGGAAGGGUCAUUCGAUACUGUUCGACUCGAAGAUAGGAGAGGGAAGCGGAAUUCCCGGUGUAGUGGCGAAAUGCGUAGAUAUCGGGAGGAACACCAGUGGCGAAGGCGGCUUUCUGGCCUAUUCUUGACGCUGAGGCGCGAAAGCUAGGGGAGCGAACGGGAUUAGAUA
Molecule: ribosomal RNA, 279 nt
Filed under: uncultured bacterium
Lineage: Bacteria
Description: partial 16S ribosomal RNA
Rfam family: Bacterial small subunit ribosomal RNA
Source: RNAcentral